Molecule: ribosomal RNA, 235 nt
Filed under: uncultured bacterium
Lineage: Bacteria
Description: partial 16S ribosomal RNA
Rfam family: Bacterial small subunit ribosomal RNA
Source: RNAcentral
UGAGGAACAUGACUUUCGGCGGGGGAUAGCCGGCCCAACGGCCGGGUAAUACCGCGUACGACCUUUCGGGGACAUCCCUGGAUGGUGAAAGCAGCAAUGCGCCGAUGGAGUGCCUCGCGGCCUAUCAGCUAGUUGGUGAGGUAACGGCUCACCAAGGCGACGACGGGUAGCCGGCCUGAGAGGGUGACCGGCCACACUGGGACUGAGACACGGCCCAGACCUCCUACGGGAGCAG